ACCUUUUUCAUCAUGGCAAGCCUCUCCUUGUUGACAAGAUGGUAAGUGGUUUUGUCCAACACAGGGUGAAGACUUAUCUGUUUUUUUUUUUGUUCAGACAAAUACAAGUUCAGUUUCUAUAUUUAAGAGAGAUACACUAACCAAUAAAGUUUAAUUACCAGAUCAGCCUCUCGUAGCACCUCCUCCAUGGAAGAAGCUCGUUUCCAUGUCACAGGUUGUUCCCCGUUUGCUUUCAAGAAUUGUCCAUAAGCUGCCAUUAACCAUUACCUCAAAAAUAUAUAAACUCCAACGAAAGAGUAGACUGUAAAGAGAAACUGUAAAUAUAUAUACCUGUCACAAACUUCUCAAGACGAGUGGAUUGGUACAGAUCAAAGUAGAUCAAAUUCAUCUUGAACCCUUCAACCUGUUCUUGAAAUCAAAAUGUCAAAAAAGGAAGCUUACAAAAUAUCAUAUCAAGAGGCUUUGCUUUACCAUCAUUCUAGCAUAAGCAGAACCAAUACGUCCAGCUCCAAUCACUCCCACAGUCUGUCCUUUAAGUAAGUUCCCCACAAACCUGCCAGAACCAAACAAUCGUGUUAGCACCUCUAAACCGGUUUCUUGAUUUUAAACCGGUUUCUUGAUUUUCUUGAUUUUUUCUUACAGAUGAGGAAGCCACCCUUCGUACAAGCCAGCUCUCAUGAAACCGUCAGCUUCAACAAUCCUUCUUGCCGCAGCAAGGGAAAGCGAAGCGGCUAGCUCGGC
RNAcentral lists this long non-coding RNA (741 nucleotides) under Brassica rapa (field mustard). RNAcentral's name for it is "long non-coding RNA (BRAP_LNC005447)". The record is from RNAcentral. Lineage: Eukaryota; Viridiplantae; Streptophyta; Magnoliopsida; Brassicales; Brassicaceae.